CCUACGGGUGGCAGCAGUGGGGAAUAUUGGGCAAUGGGCGCAAGCCUGACCCAGCAACGCCGCGUGAAGGAAGAAGGCUUUCGGGUUGUAAACUUCUUUUCUGAGGGACGAAGAAAGUGACGGUACCUCAGGAAUAAGCCACGGCUAACUACGUGCCAGCAGCCGCGGUAAUACGUAGGUGGCAAGCGUUAUCCGGAAAUGGGUGGAACGGCCGUGAUGCCGGGAAAGCAAGAACGAUGUGAAACCACAGGGCUCAACCCUGCGCCUGCAUUUGAAAAUGUUUUUCUGGAGUGCUGGAGGGGCAAUCGGAAUUCCGUGUGUAGCGGUGAAAUGCGUAGAUAUACGGAGGAACACCAGUGGCGAAGGCGGAUUGCUGGACAGUAACUGACGCUGAGGCGCGAAAGCGUGGGGAGCAAACAGGAUUAGAUACCCCAGUAGUC
This 440-nucleotide ribosomal RNA is filed under the name uncultured bacterium. RNAcentral describes it as "partial 16S ribosomal RNA". It matches the Rfam family "Bacterial small subunit ribosomal RNA", at positions 338 to 795 of the family's 1533-position model. The record is from RNAcentral.